RNAcentral lists this ribosomal RNA (342 nucleotides) under Karasbergia methueni. RNAcentral's name for it is "partial large subunit ribosomal RNA". The record is from RNAcentral. Lineage: Eukaryota; Metazoa; Arthropoda; Arachnida; Scorpiones; Buthidae.
UUAGUCUUAUAAUUUAAGACUGGAAUGAAAGGAUAGACUAAAAAGACUUUUUCUUUAAUCAUAUACAUCAAAUUUUACCUUUUAGUAAAAAGGCUAAAAUUUUGUUUAAGGACAAGAAGACCCUAUGAAAUUUUACAUAUUAAUAAGAUAAAACUUAAAAACAUGUUUCACUGGGGCGGUGAAAAACUUAACAUUUUUUAAUUUAACUAUUUCUAUUAAAAUAACCAAAACUUUUGAAGUAAAACAAACUACUCUAGGGAUAACAGCGUUAUUUAUUUAAAAAGUCCCUAUUGACAAAUAAGCUUGCGACCUCGAUGUUGGAUUAAAAUCCCUUUCUAAGCA